AGUCACUGACAUUAGAUACCCCGGUAGUCCCAGCCGUAAACAAUGUGCGUUAGGUGUGUCGGUAACCACGUGUUACUGAUGCGCCGAAGAGAAAUCGUGAAACGCACCACCUGGGAAGUACGGUCGCAAGGCUGAAACUUAAAGGAAUUGGCGGGGAGCACCACAACAGGUGGAGCCUGCGGUUUAAUUGGAUUCAACGCCGGACAUCUCACCGGAUAAGACGGCUGAAUGAUUGUCAAUCUGAAGGUUUUACAUGACUAGCUG
This 264-nucleotide ribosomal RNA is filed under the name uncultured archaeon. RNAcentral's name for it is "partial 16S ribosomal RNA". It matches the Rfam family "Archaeal small subunit ribosomal RNA", at positions 718 to 982 of the family's 1478-position model. The record is from RNAcentral.